AUUCCAGCAACAACACCAUAAAUUGCACCCUCUGGGAGGACUAUGCCAAACAGUUUUUUAAGUUUAACGAGGACAAAGCUGCGACAACUGGGCCGAUUGUUAUUUUGAUUCAGUAUGCAAAAGUUAAAGAAGCUGGCCAAUACCCUCUCUUCGUUACCAACACAUUCCAUGUUACCAAGCUCCUUAUCAAUGCAGAUUUGCCGAGUGUCAAGGACUUCCUUAACAGUUUCCCAAAGGAAUCGUUGCGUGUUGUUUCCACGCAACUAACCUCUCAGUCUCAACAAUACUCCCGCACAUCGACAAAUGAUAAUGUUGGAUAAAGUCAUCUGCAGAAGUUGCUGAAAGGGGCUAUUGCUGUACCACUUAGUGAGAUGAAGAAAAUCCGCGAGAUUACUUUUUGUGCUACUGUUGCAAAAACAAGAAAACUCAUUGCGUCUUCCCACGGAUGGUACUACCAGUGCUGCCAUGAAUGAACAAAAUCAGUUCGCGGUGACAAACCUCCGUACAAAUGUGAUAAUGGACAUUUUACUGAGGCGGAGAUCUAUAAGUACAAUCCGUUUGGGACCUUUGUCUUUGAUUCAUACCACCUCUCUAUUGAUGCUUAUUAUUAUGGUUUUUUAACAUUUGUAUCUAAUCCAAUAAACCAAAAAUAGAUAUAAGAUUGAAGUGGAAGGUUUCUAUUUGCAUACUUCUUGCAAAUUCAUUUUCUGGGAUAGAGAAUGUACCGAAAUCUUACACGUCUCUGCUACUCAUAUGCGGGAUACAAUGAUAAAGGUUGGUAUCACAGAUCCAUUAGAAUUCCCAUUAGAUCUUGAUGCUAUGUUGGACUUGGAUCUUGCUUUGAGGGUUAAAUGGCAGCCCAGUUGGGACAGCGCCUCAGUUAUAAUGUUCUUUAAAGAUGAUGAGUUUGUAAAACAAUUGAAGGCUCCUUGGGCGGAUACUCAGAUUAAAGAAAGCGUCGAUGAAGCCAAAACUGAUGCUGCAGAUGAUUGUGACGUUCCAACGUUAUUCAAUUUCAAAAACCAAAGCAUGUAUUGUUAGAGAAGUUGUUGUCCUAUACAUGUUCAUAACUUAUUUUUUAUGUUAUGUUUACAGGACUUAGAGAUAACAUCCAAACACAACCCAGAGCUUCUAACUCCCACCGCAAAAAGGCAGAGUCAUGGUGGUUCCAGCGAGUCGACAUGUGUAUGUGACGGUGAACUAUCUUCGACCAAAUUGAAGAAGAUCAUCAAGUUGGAGAACAACAAGUAGUCGUACUCCUACACGCAUAAAACAAUGCAAGCAUAACGUAUCUGUUUUGGCUACUCAGUACUAUAUCAUAUUAGGAGUCUUUUGGAUAUUUCAUUUUGGUUCACUGAUGACUUUAUCUUUGCAUGUCUGAUGUAAUUUUUGGUCCUGAAUAUUUAAAGCAUUAUAUUUCCCUUCUAAAUCCAUAUCUGUUACUAAGGUUACACAUGCUAAUUGUAGCAUUUUAUAUUGGAUAUUCCAUUUUGGUUCAA
Vicia villosa (hairy vetch) is the source of this 1499-nucleotide RNA transcript. RefSeq lists it as uncharacterized. The transcript has 6 exons. NCBI's taxonomy places the organism in Eukaryota, Viridiplantae, Streptophyta, Magnoliopsida, Fabales, Fabaceae. The record is from RefSeq and is a predicted model, not a curated record.